Molecule: ribosomal RNA, 902 nt
Filed under: uncultured beta proteobacterium
Lineage: Bacteria; Pseudomonadati; Pseudomonadota; Betaproteobacteria
Description: bacterial SSU rRNA
Rfam family: Bacterial small subunit ribosomal RNA (bases 111-902)
Source: RNAcentral
UGCCCUCUAUCGGGGGUUCCUNUUACACAUGCCAGUUCGGGCCUGCCGUCGCCGAUAGAUCUUUGCUUCUUUUUUGCCAUGCGUGAUUGUCCGGUCGUGGUUGCAUGAAUCAGUAUCCGGGUACUUGCCCCGAUGUUACCGUGUGUUAUUACCUAUCUUCGGAUAGUAUGGUCUAAUCCGCAUACCCCUACGGGGUAAUGGUUGGGAUCGCAAGACCUCUCACUAUUGACGUCCGAUAUCGGAUUAGCUAUUGUGUGGUAAAGGCUCACCAAGGCACGAUCCGUAGCUGGUNUUGAGAGGACGACCAGCCACACUGGGACUGAGACACGGCCCAGACUCCUACGGGAGGCAGCAUGGGGAAUUUUGGACAAUGGGGGAAACCCUGAUCCAGCCAUCCCGCGUGUAUGAUGAAGGCCUUCGGGUUGUAAAGUACUUUUGGCAGAGAAGAAAAGGUAUCCCCUAAUACGGGAUACUGCUGACGGUAUCUGCAGAAUAAGCACCGGCUAACUACGUGCCAGCAGCCGCGGUAAUACGUAGGGUGCAAGCGUUAAUCGGAAUUACUGGGCGUAAAGCGUGUGUAGGCGGUUCGGAAAGAAAGAUGUGAAAUCCCAGGGCUCAACCUUGGAACUGCAUUUUUAACUGCCGAGCUAGAGUAUGUCAGAGGGGGGUAGAAUUCCACGUGUAGCAGUGAAAUGCGUAGAUAUGUGGAGGAAUACCGAUGGCGAAGGCAGCCCCCUGGGAUAAUACUGACGCUCAGACACGAAAGCGUGGGGAGCAAACAGGAUUAGAUACCCUGGUAGUCCACGCCCUAAACGAUGUCAACUAGCUGUUGGGGCCGUUAGGCCUUAGUAGCGCAGCUAACGCGUGAAGUUGACCGCCUGGGGAGUACGGGUCGCAAGAUU